GACGAACGCUGGCGGCGUGCUUAACACAUGCAAGUCGAACGAAGUGGCGAACGGGUGAGUAAUACGUGGGUAACCUGCCCUCCUUGUUGGGAUAAGCCUUGGAAACGGGGUCUAAUACCGAAUAAAGGGGGAUGGGCUCGCGGCCUAUCAGCUUGUUGGUGGGGUGAUGGCCUACCAAGGCGGUGACGGGUAGCCGGGCUGAGAAGGCGCCCGGCCACAUAGGGACGGCGCAGCGGCCUAGGCUCGUACGCGGGGGGGCAUUGGGGGAUAUUGCACAAUGGGCGAAGGAGCCAUGCCGCGUCGCUGAGUGGGGCAUGAGGGCUUUCAGGUUGUAACACUCUUUAGGAAGCGAACGGGUACGUGGAGAAGAAGCGCCGGCUAACUACGUGCCAGCAGCCGCGGUAAUAC
This 408-nucleotide ribosomal RNA is filed under the name uncultured bacterium. RNAcentral describes it as "partial 16S ribosomal RNA". It matches the Rfam family "Bacterial small subunit ribosomal RNA", at positions 28 to 526 of the family's 1533-position model. The record is from RNAcentral.